GACAGAGGUGCCAAGCGUUAGGCGGAAUCACUGGGCUUAAAGCGUGUGUAGGCGGAAUGGUAAGUACCUUGUGAAAUCCCACGGCUCAACCGUGGAACUGCUUGGUAUACUGCUUUUCUUGAGCCACUUAGGGGCAACCGGAACAAACGGUGGAGCGGUGAAAUGCGCAGAUAUCAGGAGGAACACCAGCGGCGAAGGCGGCGCUCUGGGCCGGUACUGACACUGAGGAGCGAAAGCGUGGGUAGCAAACAGG
Molecule: ribosomal RNA, 253 nt
Filed under: uncultured bacterium
Lineage: Bacteria
Description: partial 16S ribosomal RNA
Rfam family: Bacterial small subunit ribosomal RNA
Source: RNAcentral